RNAcentral lists this ribosomal RNA (943 nucleotides) under Salmonella enterica. Its description in RNAcentral is "partial 23S ribosomal RNA". It matches the Rfam family "Bacterial large subunit ribosomal RNA", at positions 1216 to 2141 of the family's 2925-position model. Lineage: Bacteria; Pseudomonadati; Pseudomonadota; Gammaproteobacteria; Enterobacterales; Enterobacteriaceae. RNAcentral also lists the same sequence under 1 other name. The record is from RNAcentral.
AUGCGUUGUUGGGUAGGGGAGCGUUCUGUAAGCCUGUGAAGGUGGCCUGUGAGGGUUGCUGGAGGUAUCAGAAGUGCGAAUGCUGACAUAAGUAACGAUAAAGCGGGUGAAAAGCCCGCUCGCCGGAAGACCAAGGGUUCCUGUCCAACGUUAAUCGGGGCAGGGUGAGUCGACCCCUAAGGCGAGGCCGAAAGGCGUAGUCGAUGGGAAACGGGUUAAUAUUCCCGUACUUGGUGUUACUGCGAAGGGGGGACGGAGAAGGCUAUGUUGGCCGGGCGACGGUUGUCCCGGUUUAAGCGUGUAGGUGUGUGUUCCAGGUAAAUCCGGUUCACUUUAACACUGAGGCGUGACGACGAGGCACUACGGUGCUGAAGCAACAAAUGCCCUGCUUCCAGGAAAAGCCUCUAAGCAUCAGGUAACAUCAAAUCGUACCCCAAACCGACACAGGUGGUCAGGUAGAGAAUACCAAGGCGCUUGAGAGAACUCGGGUGAAGGAACUAGGCAAAAUGGUGCCGUAACUUCGGGAGAAGGCACGCUGACACGUAGGUGAAGUGAUUUACUCAUGGAGCUGAAGUCAGUCGAAGAUACCAGCUGGCUGCAACUGUUUAUUAAAAACACAGCACUGUGCAAACACGAAAGUGGACGUAUACGGUGUGACGCCUGCCCGGUGCCGGAAGGUUAAUUGAUGGGGUCAGCGCAAGCGAAGCUCCUGAUCGAAGCCCCGGUAAACGGCGGCCGUAACUAUAACGGUCCUAAGGUAGCGAAAUUCCUUGUCGGGUAAGUUCCGACCUGCACGAAUGGCGUAAUGAUGGCCAGGCUGUCUCCACCCGAGACUCAGUGAAAUUGAACUCGCUGUGAAGAUGCAGUGUACCCGCGGCAAGACGGAAAGACCCCGUGAACCUUUACUAUAGCUUGACACUGAACAUUGAGCCUUGAUGUGUAG